This 408-nucleotide ribosomal RNA is filed under the name uncultured bacterium. RNAcentral's name for it is "partial 16S ribosomal RNA". It matches the Rfam family "Bacterial small subunit ribosomal RNA", at positions 28 to 526 of the family's 1533-position model. The record is from RNAcentral.
GACGAACGCUGGCGGCGUGCUUAACACAUGCAAGUCGAACGAAGUGGCGAACGGGUGAGUAACGCGUAAUCAACCUGCCCUUCAGAGGGGGACAACAGUUGGAAACGACUGCUAAUACCGCAUAAUGAAGGAGGGGAUUGCGUCUGAUUAGCUAGUUGGGGGGGUAACGGCCCACCAUGGCGAUGAUCAGUAGCCGGGCUGGAAGGAUGAACGGGCACAUUGGGACUGAGACACGGCCCAGACUGCUACGGGGGGCAGCAGUGGGGAAUCUUCCGCAAAGGACGAAAGUCUGACGGAGCAACGCCGCGGGAGUGAUGAGGGCCUUCGGGUUGUAAAGCUCUGUUAAUCGGGACGCGGUACCGGAAGAGAAAGCCACGGCUAACUACGUGCCAGCCGCCGCGGUAAUUC